Molecule: ribosomal RNA, 2902 nt
Filed under: Escherichia coli HVH 137 (4-2124971)
Lineage: Bacteria; Pseudomonadati; Pseudomonadota; Gammaproteobacteria; Enterobacterales; Enterobacteriaceae
Description: bacterial LSU rRNA
Rfam family: Bacterial large subunit ribosomal RNA
Source: RNAcentral
UUAAGCGACUAAGCGUACACGGUGGAUGCCCUGGCAGUCAGAGGCGAUGAAGGACGUGCUAAUCUGCGAUAAGCGUCGGUGAGGUGAUAUGAACCGUUAUAACCGGCGAUUUCCGAAUGGGGAAACCCAGUGUGUUUCGACACACUAUCAUUAACUGAAUCCAUAGGUUAAUGAGGCGAACCGGGGGAACUGAAACAUCUAAGUACCCCGAGGAAAAGAAAUCAACCGAGAUUCCCCCAGUAGCGGCGAGCGAACGGGGAGGAGCCCAGAGCCUGAAUCAGUGUGUGUGUUAGUGGAAGCGUCUGGAAAGGCGCGCGAUACAGGGUGACAGCCCCGUACACAAAAAUGCACAUAUUGUGAGCUCGAUGAGUAGGGCGGGACACGUGGUAUCCUGUCUGAAUAUGGGGGGACCAUCCUCCAAGGCUAAAUACUCCUGACUGACCGAUAGUGAACCAGUACCGUGAGGGAAAGGCGAAAAGAACCCCGGCGAGGGGAGUGAAAAAGAACCUGAAACCGUGUACGUACAAGCAGUGGGAGCCUCUUUAUGGGGUGACUGCGUACCUUUUGUAUAAUGGGUCAGCGACUUAUAUUCUGUAGCAAGGUUAACCGAAUAGGGGAGCCGAAGGGAAACCGAGUCUUAACUGGGCGUUAAGUUGCAGGGUAUAGACCCGAAACCCGGUGAUCUAGCCAUGGGCAGGUUGAAGGUUGGGUAACACUAACUGGAGGACCGAACCGACUAAUGUUGAAAAAUUAGCGGAUGACUUGUGGCUGGGGGUGAAAGGCCAAUCAAACCGGGAGAUAGCUGGUUCUCCCCGAAAGCUAUUUAGGUAGCGCCUCGUGAAUUCAUCUCCGGGGGUAGAGCACUGUUUCGGCAAGGGGGUCAUCCCGACUUACCAACCCGAUGCAAACUGCGAAUACCGGAGAAUGUUAUCACGGGAGACACACGGCGGGUGCUAACGUCCGUCGUGAAGAGGGAAACAACCCAGACCGCCAGCUAAGGUCCCAAAGUCAUGGUUAAGUGGGAAACGAUGUGGGAAGGCCCAGACAGCCAGGAUGUUGGCUUAGAAGCAGCCAUCAUUUAAAGAAAGCGUAAUAGCUCACUGGUCGAGUCGGCCUGCGCGGAAGAUGUAACGGGGCUAAACCAUGCACCGAAGCUGCGGCAGCGACACUAUGUGUUGUUGGGUAGGGGAGCGUUCUGUAAGCCUGUGAAGGUGGCCUGUGAGGGUUGCUGGAGGUAUCAGAAGUGCGAAUGCUGACAUAAGUAACGAUAAAGCGGGUGAAAAGCCCGCUCGCCGGAAGACCAAGGGUUCCUGUCCAACGUUAAUCGGGGCAGGGUGAGUCGACCCCUAAGGCGAGGCCGAAAGGCGUAGUCGAUGGGAAACAGGUUAAUAUUCCUGUACUUGGUGUUACUGCGAAGGGGGGACGGAGAAGGCUAUGUUGGCCGGGCGACGGUUGUCCCGGUUUAAGCGUGUAGGCUGGUUUUCCAGGCAAAUCCGGAAAACCAAGGCUGAGGCGUGAUGACGAGGCACUACGGUGCUGAAGCGACAAAUGCCCUGCUUCCAGGAAAAGCCUCUAAGCAUCAGGUAACAUCAAAUCGUACCCCAAACCGACACAGGUGGUCAGGUAGAGAAUACCAAGGCGCUUGAGAGAACUCGGGUGAAGGAACUAGGCAAAAUGGUGCCGUAACUUCGGGAGAAGGCACGCUGAUAUGUAGGUGAAGCGACUUGCUCGUGGAGCUGAAAUCAGUCGAAGAUACCAGCUGGCUGCAACUGUUUAUUAAAAACACAGCACUGUGCAAACACGAAAGUGGACGUAUACGGUGUGACGCCUGCCCGGUGCCGGAAGGUUAAUUGAUGGGGUUAGCGGUAACGCGAAGCUCUUGAUCGAAGCCCCGGUAAACGGCGGCCGUAACUAUAACGGUCCUAAGGUAGCGAAAUUCCUUGUCGGGUAAGUUCCGACCUGCACGAAUGGCGUAAUGAUGGCCAGGCUGUCUCCACCCGAGACUCAGUGAAAUUGAACUCGCUGUGAAGAUGCAGUGUACCCGCGGCAAGACGGAAAGACCCCGUGAACCUUUACUAUAGCUUGACACUGAACAUUGAGCCUUGAUGUGUAGGAUAGGUGGGAGGCUUUGAAGUGUGGACGCCAGUCUGCAUGGAGCCGACCUUGAAAUACCACCCUUUAAUGUUUGAUGUUCUAACGUUGGCCCGUAAUCCGGGUUGCGGACAGUGUCUGGUGGGUAGUUUGACUGGGGCGGUCUCCUCCUAAAGAGUAACGGAGGAGCACGAAGGUUGGCUAAUCCUGGUCGGACAUCAGGAGGUUAGUGCAAUGGCAUAAGCCAGCUUGACUGCGAGCGUGACGGCGCGAGCAGGUGCGAAAGCAGGUCAUAGUGAUCCGGUGGUUCUGAAUGGAAGGGCCAUCGCUCAACGGAUAAAAGGUACUCCGGGGAUAACAGGCUGAUACCGCCCAAGAGUUCAUAUCGACGGCGGUGUUUGGCACCUCGAUGUCGGCUCAUCACAUCCUGGGGCUGAAGUAGGUCCCAAGGGUAUGGCUGUUCGCCAUUUAAAGUGGUACGCGAGCUGGGUUUAGAACGUCGUGAGACAGUUCGGUCCCUAUCUGCCGUGGGCGCUGGAGAACUGAGGGGGGCUGCUCCUAGUACGAGAGGACCGGAGUGGACGCAUCACUGGUGUUCGGGUUGUCAUGCCAAUGGCACUGCCCGGUAGCUAAAUGCGGAAGAGAUAAGUGCUGAAAGCAUCUAAGCACGAAACUUGCCCCGAGAUGAGUUCUCCCUGAGUCUUAGAGACUCCUGAAGGAACGUUGAAGACGACGACGUUGAUAGGCCGGGUGUGUAAGCGCAGCGAUGCGUUGAGCUAACCGGUACUAAUGAACCGUGAGGCUUAACCUU